This 465-nucleotide ribosomal RNA is filed under the name uncultured bacterium. Its description in RNAcentral is "partial 16S ribosomal RNA". It matches the Rfam family "Bacterial small subunit ribosomal RNA", at positions 339 to 795 of the family's 1533-position model. The record is from RNAcentral.
CUACGGGAGGCAGCAGUGGGGAAUAUUGGACAAUGGGGGAAACCCUGAUCCAGCAAUGCCGCGUGUGUGAAGAAGGCCUGCGGGUUGUAAAGCACUUUCGGUUGGGAGGACUGCUUCUAGCACUAAUAUUGUUGGAAGUUGACGUUACCUUCAGAAGAAGCACCGGCUAACUCCGUGCCAGCAGCCGCGGUAAUACGGAGGGUGCAAGCGUUAAGCGGAAUUACUGGGCGUAAAGCGCGCGUAGGCGGCUAGAUCAGUCGGGUGUGAAAGCCCCGGGCUUAACCUGGGAACUGCACCCGAUACUGUCUAGCUUGAGUACAGGAGAGGAGAGUGGAAUUCCACAUGUAGCGGUGAAAUGCGUAGAUAUGUGGAGGAACACCAAUGGCGAAGGCAGCUCUCUGGCCUGAUACUGACGCUGAGGUACGAAAGCGUGGGGAGCAAACAGGACUAGAUACCCCUGUAGUC